This is a long non-coding RNA of Ictalurus punctatus (channel catfish), 1319 nucleotides long. RefSeq lists it as uncharacterized. The record is from RefSeq and is a predicted model, not a curated record. The transcript is spliced from 2 exons. NCBI's taxonomy places the organism in Eukaryota, Metazoa, Chordata, Actinopteri, Siluriformes, Ictaluridae.
AUCACCCCUUUUUUGUUUUUAUUAGCGUUUUCCAUCCUGUCCCAACUUUUUCGGAAUUGCGGUUGUCAAAUUUCUAUUAGUUCUUGAAUAUAGCUGAUUCAUAAAUCCACCAAAGAGGCUUAUUAGGCUGAGAGUUUGGCUGCAGAUCCGGUUAUGACUCUGCCUUUUGGCCAACCGUUUAUUCGACAGUGAUAAAUAGGUGAAAAAUGCGCUGAAUGUUCAAAAGCCUGCAUGCUGGACAGAAUAUCAAAGGCCUGAAAAUGCAAUGGAGUGUUUCAGAGCCAGACUUUAGCUUUGAUUACAAAAACAACACACAGAGCCAGGAAUCGGUUAUGCUCCAGCGUGACGCAAAUCCGUCCCCUGUUCUAUUAACAUCUGCUUAUGGUCCUCUCAGUAGAUGACAUUUCCAGUGUGGCUAACACGAGCAAGAUUUUGCUGUGAAUUGACGUCAGUGUGACAGAGUUUCAGUUCCUCUUAAAAGUUUUUUUUAAAUAAAUAUCGAAUUUCACACCAGGGGAUGCAUGAAGAACUAUAUAAUUCUGUCUUAUUAUGCUGCCAGUGAUACAGUAGGUGGUGUGUGUUUGUGUGUGUCUGGGCUACAGUAGAGUCAUGCUUCAAUUAAACGGGUCACGGGGGAACCUGGAGUCUAUCCCAGGGAGCACUGGGCACAAGGCGGGGUACACCCUGGACAGGGUGCCAAUCCAUUGCAGGACAACAAUCACAUACACACUCACACACCCAUUCAUACACUACGGACACUUUAGACACGCCAAUCAUCCUACCAUGCAUGUCUUUGGACUGGGGGAGGAAACCGGAGUACCCGGAGGAAACCCCCGCAGCACGGGGAGAACACGCAAUCUCCGCACACACAGGGCCACGGUGGGAAUCGAACCCCCGACCCUGGAGGUGUGAGCCGAACGUGCUACAUCAAUAAAACAUGAUUAAACAAAUUAAGAGGAGUAUUUGUUUGACAUUCAGGUGUUUAAAUAUGGAACUGUUUGUAAAGAUGACUUCGUUGACCUACUAUGAACAACAUUAUAAUGCUGUUAGUGAGCAAAUCAAUGUCAUUCGUCACAUGUAUAAUCAGCUGCGCUGCAUUUGUGUUAUGUCCACCAUCAGAAAAUAAACAUUUGGAACUGUUAGAAAAUAUUUCAAGGGAGUUCAAACCUGAACAUCUAACUGGGGAAGCGAGAGACUUUCUGCAAGUCUGAUCCACACACUUUUUUUAAUUUAAGUGUUCAUUUGUGUGUGAUAAAAUGUCUGCAUGUUCCCCCCGUAUUAAAACCCUUGUGCUGGAUUCUCCAUGCACUAAUAUGCUA